This 470-nucleotide ribosomal RNA is filed under the name uncultured bacterium. Its description in RNAcentral is "SSU rRNA". It matches the Rfam family "Bacterial small subunit ribosomal RNA", at positions 26 to 518 of the family's 1533-position model. The record is from RNAcentral.
AGGACUAACGCUGGCGGCGUGCCUAACACAUGCAAGUCGAACGAGAGUAGCAAUACUCUAGUGGCAGACGGGUGAGUAACACGUGGUCAACCUACCUCUAUGUGGGGGGAUAACUAGCCGAAAGGUUAGCUAAUACCGCAUACGAUCGUCGAGCGGCAUCGCUUGACGAUGAAAGGAGCAAUCCGCAGAGAGACGGGACCGCGUCCCAUUAGCUAGUUGGUGGGGUAAAGGCCUACCAAGGCGACGAUGGGUAGCUGGCUUGAGAGAGCGACCAGCCACACUGGGACUGAGACACGGCCCAGACUCCUACGGGAGGCAGCAGUGAGGAAUUUUCCGCAAUGGGCGAAAGCCUGACGGAGCGACGCCGCGUGUGGGAAGAAGGCCUUCGGGUCGUAAACCACUGUCGAAGGGGAAGAUAUUGACGGUACCCUUGGAGGAAGCCCCGGCUAACGUACGCGCCAGCACGCCGC